UUGAAURRRCUUGGUUGGGUUGUUGCUGGCUCUCAGGAGCAUGUGCACGCUCGGUCAAAUUUUAACCACCUGUGCACACACUGUAGGCCUGAAUGAMCUUUGUCCAGGAAAAAAGAAACUCGGUUUGAGAACUGCUGAGCUGUUCUUGCAUUUCAGGUCUAUGUUUCAAACAUAUACUCCAUAUACAAGUGAUAGAACGUUAAUUAUUGGCCUUCUUGUGCCUUUAAACCUAAAUACAACUUUCAACAACGGAUCUCUUGGCUCUCGCAUCGAUGAAGAACGCAGCGAAAUGCGAUAAGUAAUGUGAAUUGCAGAAUUCAGUGAAUCAUCGAAUCUUUGAACGCACCUUGCGCUCCUUGGUAUUCCGAGGAGCAUGCCUGUUUGAGUGUCAUGAAAUUCUCAACCUUUCUGGCUUUUUAUGAGCUGGUCAGGCUUGGAUUGUGGAAGUUGCUGGCUUCUUUUUGAGAUCAGCUCUUCUUAAAUGUAUUAGCAAAAUUCUUGCUGGACCAUCUUUGGUAUGAUAAUUAUCUAUACCAUUGAGAUCACAGCUUCCACUUCAGCGGAUUUCAGGCUCUGCUUGGAUUUAUUUCCAAGUGUUCGAUUCAACCGCUCUGAAGCACCAGCCUAGGCACAGACAUUAACUUGUUUGAUGGUGUUGAAUACUUCAGGUUGACGAAGCGAGGUGCUUCCUYAGGGAAGUGCUCACGAGAGCAAGCAGUGUCAGAGCAUCAUCRAGAUGUACUGAUAUGUGCACUGUCAUAUUCCUGUACCUACCCUAGCUACUAUGUGGCUUUGAUGGGUUUGGUCAAACCAUGACCUGAACAUAUCCUUAGUGGGAGGAUCUUGCUUCUAAUAUUGUUCCUAGGAACAAAUCUUUUGACAAU
This 884-nucleotide unclassified non-coding RNA is filed under the name Entoloma majaloides. RNAcentral's name for it is "sequence contains ITS1, 5.8S rRNA gene and ITS2". The stretch from base 238 to 391 matches the Rfam family "5.8S ribosomal RNA". Lineage: Eukaryota; Fungi; Basidiomycota; Agaricomycetes; Agaricales; Entolomataceae. The record is from RNAcentral.